Molecule: ribosomal RNA, 229 nt
Filed under: uncultured bacterium
Lineage: Bacteria
Description: partial 16S ribosomal RNA
Rfam family: Bacterial small subunit ribosomal RNA
Source: RNAcentral
UGCGCAGGCGGGCCUUUAAGUCAGUGGUGAAAUCUUGCCGCUUAACGGUAAAAUUGCCAUUGAAACUGAAGGUCUUGAAUAUGGUUGAGGUAGGCGGAAUGUGUUGUGUAGCGGUGAAAUGCAUAGAUAUGACACAGAACGCCGAUUGCGAAGGUAGCUUACUAAGCCAUUAUUGACGCUGAGGCACGAAAGCGUGGGGAGCGAACAGGAUUAGAUACCCUGGUAGUCC